UGAAUGAAUAUAAAACAGAAAAAUAAAUUUAAAAUUCCAAAAUGUGUAAUGUUAAUCUGAUGACGUUUAUCCGGCUUAUCACGAAUGAAUGAAUGACUUGUCGUUCGUAGGACUCCGCUGAUAAACGAUAAACCAACAUGUAUUAAAAGCGAGCGAGUGCUUAGUAUAGAUCAGUUGAACGCUUAUACGCGAACGAACAUUAUCUCAAAGCGUAACUUUGUCGUUUGUCUUAUAGUGUUUGUAUUCAAAUAUUACUAUUACGAAAUUCGUUCGAAAAUUUAAAAUAAAUGAUAUCAAGUAUAAACAGUGACGCUUAGAAGAGAUAAGGAGUAUUAUUAUCGUUCUAUUUCUUAGUUAAUGUGUUCAUUUUGUUCUUUUUUAUUCUUUUAUUUGACUUGUUAUCUUGCUUCUUGUCGCUGCUUUUUUAAUCUAUUUACAUGAAUUUAUUCUAAAUAUCCGUAAUAAUAGUAAAUAUAAAAGUAAAGUAAAAGUAAAAGUAAAAUGAUUCGUAAGUUUAUUGUACGAACGUCGAAAAAAUUAUUAGAGCUGCGUAUUGCAAGAAAGGAGCAUAUUAGAAAUGUACAUUUCAAGUUUUAUCCCAACACAAGGUCGUUCAUACCCGAGCGAAAAACCGAAAAAUUGAAUAUGUAUCAAGCCAUUAAUCAAGCUUUGGACAUUACUUUAAAAAAUGAUUCAUCCGCAGUUAUUUUUGGAGAAGAUGUUGCCUUCGGUGGUGUUUUUCGUUGCACCGUAGGAUUACAAAAACGUUAUGGUUCCGAUCGAGUUUUUAAUACACCUUUAUCCGAACAAGGUAUCGCAGGUUUUGGUAUUGGUUUGGCGAAUGUUGGUGCAACCGCCAUUGCAGAAAUUCAGUUUGCCGAUUAUAUAUUUCCUGCAUUUGAUCAGAUAGUAAAUGAAGCAGCUAAAUGCAGAUACAGAAGCGGCGGAAUGUUUGAUUGUGGAAAAUUGACGAUACGAUCACCUUGCGGUGCCGUUGGGCAUGGAGGACUGUAUCAUUCACAAAGUCCGGAAGCUUAUUUUGCUCAUACACCUGGAUUAAAGAUUGUAGUACCUCGAGGUCCAGUGCAAGCAAAAGGACUUUUAUUGAGUUCUAUUCAGGAGCCAGAUCCUUGCAUAAUUUUUGAACCUAAGGUCCUUUAUCGUACGGCUGUUGAUGAGGUUCCGGUUGGUCAUUAUAAAAUUGAAAUUGGUAAAGGAGAGAUUAUUAAAGAAGGAAAAGACGUGACUCUCGUAGGAUGGGGCACACAGGUGCACGUACUAUUAGAAACAGCCGAUCUCGUCGAGGAGAAGCUCGGUGCAUCUUGCGAGGUGAUAGAUCUUCUUUCCAUUUUACCUUGGGAUGUUCAACUAGUUUGCAAGGCACAGUGAUCUCAGCAUAUUUGAACUUUAAACUAUAAUAAUAGAGAGUGAAUAAGAAACGAAAUAGAGGUAGGCCAGGGUUCAGGCAGUUAUCUUCUGGACUCAGGUCCAGUGAUGCAGAUCGUAAUUGGAAAGUUAGUUUCAUUGCACUCAACUCUCGAGACUGGUGUAGUUUGCGCAACUAAGAAACUGUUUCGAAGGCUCAUCGAGAAGGUUGCUAAUCGGAGAUUAGGUCUCUUCAACACAAGAGAACAA
This 1635-nucleotide unclassified non-coding RNA is filed under the name Polistes dominula (European paper wasp). RNAcentral's name for it is "2-oxoisovalerate dehydrogenase subunit beta, mitochondrial, transcript variant X4". The record is from RNAcentral. Lineage: Eukaryota; Metazoa; Arthropoda; Insecta; Hymenoptera; Vespidae.